GCAGAGUUAGGACAGGGAAAGAGGGGAAAGUGGCUUAUUAACAUCCCCGACCACAACCAAGCCUCUUCAAUUAGGAGAAACAGCUGCAGAAUCUCGGCUCCCCCAACCAAGAGUUUAUUCCAGAGAACCCGCAGUAAGUUGUGGACUCUGAUCCCAACCUAAGCAAUCUGCAUCAAGAACUCUCUCUCUCCUGAGAUGUCUACAUUUCACCCCUAAAGUUCCCAAAAGGCAUGUGAAGAGCUGUCCUAAAGCCCCUGCCACCACCUGUCAAGGAAGCCACAGGCAUGAGAACAAAAACAUGGGAUGUGGCAAGGCAGAAGGAUGGAAAGACCCUGGAGCCUAAAGUCCCUGCUGAGCCACCACACCAAGCCUGGACCAUUUGUCCCCAGACUUCUUGUUAAGUAGAUGAUAAAUGUUCCUCUGGUUUAAGCCACUGUUUGUUGGGUUGUUUUAUCUGGCAGCCAAACAUCUACUUGGUACAGCUCCCCCAUAAUGAUUUUGGUCAAUAAUCAUACUCUCAUUACCAGUGUCACUCCCUAACUGGCCCAAGUCUGAAACUUGGAUGAAACCCCUAGUUCCCCUUAUCUAAAUCUCAGGCCCUCAUGGGGAAAAAUGUAGCACUAUCAACCUCGCCAACCCUGUCACCUGGAAGUCUGGUGUGGGUGCCAAAAGCACAAGAUAAAUACAAAGACACAGAAAUCAGUGGGAGAAGGGGAAAGGACAAAACAGGAGACUUUUUUUUUUUUUUUUGAAACUUGCAGCUGACCCUUUAGG
Molecule: long non-coding RNA, 774 nt
Organism: Marmota monax (woodchuck)
Lineage: Eukaryota; Metazoa; Chordata; Mammalia; Rodentia; Sciuridae
Exons: 3
Source: RefSeq, a predicted model, not a curated record